AAAUCCCGCUGUAAAUCCGAUACCAGACAGCCUAGAAGAGUAAAUCGUCCAGUUCCUCUUUCCUGUCUUUCACAUAUAAGAAGAAAUUGGGAGCAAGGAUUUGGGCACAAUUCGUCUACAAUGAUCGUUGUGAACACGCCGAGGCCGAGCCAGGAGCUUGCCUUCACCAACUACGCCUACUGCUCCACCGGAGAUUUACGGAAGUUUGCAAUCCCUGGAUCCAGCCUUGCUCAGGUUAUCAUUGGAGAUUCUGUCGUUCUUACCCUUGUUAGCCAUGGUAACAUUAUGGAUGGUCAAAUUGCUCUGAAUGCUGUUCAGCGUCGGAACACAAAAGUCUCUGUUGGGGAUCAAAUAUCUGUUAUCACAUUUUUUCCACCAGCUAGUUUUUUUCUGGCAUUGCUUAAUCUUGAGCUGGAUUAUGUUAAAGCAAAAGACAAUAGAAAUGAAGAGUUAGAUGCUGUUGUUCUUGCACAACAUCUUCAUAAGAAGUAUAAUAAUCAGGUUAUGACAACUGGACAAAAGGUAUUGUUUGAAUUUCUAGGAACCAAUUACAUCUUUAAUGUUAACCAAGCUUUGGUAGAGGAUGAAGAAAAAGCAAAUGACAUUGAAAGAGGGAUAAUUACCAAUGACACAUAUAUUGUAUUUGAAGCUGAUUCAAGCUCAGGGAUAAAGAUUAUUAAUCAGCGUGAAGAUGCAAGUAGCAAGAUUUUCAGGCUGAAAAACGUUGAUCUCCAAAAACUUGGAAUAGGAGGACUUGGUGAAGAAUUUGGUCAGAUCUUUCGUAGAGCAUUUGCUUCUCGCGUUUGCCCUCCCCAUGUUAUAAAUAAAUUGGGCAUCAAGCAUGUGAAGGGCAUGCUGCUUUAUGGGCCUCCGGGCACGGGAAAAACACUUAUGGCUCGACAGAUCGGAAAAUUGUUCAAUGGAAGGGAACCAAAGAUUGUUAAUGGGCCUGAAUUAAUGAGCAAAGAUGUUGGAGAAACAAAGAAAAAUGUGAGGGAUUUAUUUGCCGAUGCAGAACAGGAACAAAGGGCACGAGGUGAUCAAAGUGACUUACAUGUCAUCAUAUUUGAUGAAAUUGAUGUUAUUUGUAAGACUAGAGGGUCAACAUGGGAUGGUACUGAUGUUCAAGAUGCUAUUGUGAACCAGCUACUAACUAAGGUUGAGGCCUUAAACAAUGUCCUCCUCAUUGGAAUAACCAACAAGAGAGAUUUACUGGAUGAAGCAUUAUUAAGGCCUGGGAGAUUGGAGAUUCUUGUUGAGUUCAACCUUCCUGAUGAAACUGGACGUCUCCAAAUCCUACAAAUCUACACGAAUAAAAUGAAAGGAAACUUUUUUCUAGCUGCAGACGUAAAUCUUCAAGAGCUCGUUGCACUGACAAAAAAUUAUAGUGGAGCUGAGCUUGAAGGUGUUGUAAAAUGUGCUGUUUCAUUUGCCUCGAAUAGACAAAUAAACAUGGAUGAUCUCAACAAAGAAGUGGAUGAAGAAAACAUAAAAGUUACGAUGAAUGACUUAUUGAAUAGCCUUCAAGAAAUUAUCCCUGCAUUAGGUGUUUCCACAUAUGAUCUCCAGCAGUGCAGAUUUAAUGGAAUGAUUGACUGUGGUGAAAGACAUAAGCAUGUAUAUGAAAGCAUCAUGUUUCUUGUAAGUCAAGUUAAAAAGAACAAGCGUGUCGAGCUAUUUGCUUGUCUCCUGGAGGGUCCUCAGGGAAGUGGUAAGACAACAAUAGCAGCAAGCAUUGGUAUUGACAGUGAUUUUCCUUAUGUCAAAAUUGUUUCACCUGCGUUGAUAAGAGGUCUAAACGAGAGCAGUAUAUGUGCAAAAAUUGUUCAGGUUUUUGAGGAUGCGUAUAUGUCUCAGUUGAGCAUCAUUAUUCUUGAUGACAUUGAAGUGGAAAGAAUAUGUUUGUUAUUGGAACUACAAGUAAGGUGGAAUUUCUCGAGUCUAUUAAAUUGUGUAGUGCCUUUUUUGUUACUUAUCAUGUCCCGGCAUUGGCCAAGGCAGAUGCCAUAAAGGUGUUAGAACAUCUCAAUGUUUUUGCAAGGGAUGAUAUUGAUGCAGCUGCUGAAGCAUUAGACGGGAUGCCAUUGAAGAAAUUAUAUUCAGUGAUAAACAGGGCUGCCACUGGAAAGGAAAAAGAUUGAUAUAAAU
Dendrobium catenatum is the source of this 2148-nucleotide RNA transcript. It is a transcript of the gene named vesicle-fusing ATPase, with no coding region annotated. The record is from RefSeq and is a predicted model, not a curated record. Lineage: Eukaryota; Viridiplantae; Streptophyta; Magnoliopsida; Asparagales; Orchidaceae. The transcript is spliced from 20 exons.